GGUCCCAUCGUCUAGUGGUUAGGACAUCAGGUUUUCAUCCUGAAAACAGGGGUUCAAUUCCCCUUGGGACUA
Molecule: transfer RNA, 72 nt
Filed under: Patescibacteria group bacterium
Lineage: Bacteria
Description: tRNA-Glu
Rfam family: tRNA
About the family: Transfer RNA (tRNA) molecules are approximately 80 nucleotides in length.
Source: RNAcentral